Chelmon rostratus (copperband butterflyfish) is the source of this 515-nucleotide non-coding RNA. The record is from the annotation of a RefSeq genome assembly. NCBI's taxonomy places the organism in Eukaryota, Metazoa, Chordata, Actinopteri, Chaetodontiformes, Chaetodontidae.
AGAGCUCACAUCAGUUCAGCUUCAACAUCAACCAUGUUCUCUGCAGCUCUGAUACUGCUGCUGGCAGCUGGAUCCUGUGUGAACAGUAUUGAUCUCACCCAGCCAGACUCAAUGGUUGUGCAGCCUGGACAGUCGUUGACCAUCACCUGUCAGGUCUCUGGUUAUUCUUUGACUGAUGACAGCUAUGCAACAGGUUGGAUCAGACAACGUGAAGGAAAACCAAUGGACUGGAUUUCUUUUAUUUGUAGUGGCAGUGGCAGCAGCAAACUCUACUCUGAGUCAGUGAAAGGCCGGUUUACCAUCUCCAGAGACAACAGCAGACAGCAGGUGUAUCUGCAGAUGAACAGUCUGAAGACUGAAGACUCUGCUGUUUAUUAUUGUGCUCGAUACUCACAGUGACUGGAGUUGGUUGAGCAGCUGUACAAAAACCUGCAGUCCUCAUCUUUACUGAGCUGACAGACGAAAUAAUGAUGUAUAUGUUUUCUUUUUCUUUUUGCCUUCAAUGAACACACACU